CUCCUGCCCCCUCACACUCGCGCCCGUCCCCAAUCAGUUGCCCCCGUUUCUCCCCAAUCCCUGCCCCCCGUCUCUCCCCAAUCCCCUCCAGAUUCCCCUCGCCCCCUUCUCCUCAGUUGCUCUUCUCCAUGGCAGGAGAGGCAGAGGGCCAACCAUGGUGCCAUGCCAUGGAUGAGGAGGCGGAGCUCGAUGUGGAGGAGUACCCGGGAUGCCCAGCCGCGCCCCAGGGAGGAUUUCCUCACCAUCUGCGCAGCAUCCCCAGGUGUAGCAGUCAUUUUUACCUUGGCUUCCCAUCUCCUUCCUAAAACAUCUUCUUAUUUGCUCCAUUAUUGUCAGGUUGCAGGUGUGCAGGGAAGGUGUUUGUGUAAAUGCCUAAGGGCAAAAACUGCUAUGGGAAGAUGGUGAUUUAUGUGCAUCUGGACAAAUUUUCCAUGUAUAUCCCAUGUUGUCUAGCAGUGGAAGUAAUAAGAAGUACCAAUAUUGUGAUGGAUCUAGAGGGGAAUUCCUUUUGCACAUGAGGUAUUUCAUAUGAUGCUUGAAUUAAUGCUUCCUUUGUGCUCCCUGAUGAUAUAGGAUGAAAUAGUUUUCUUGCCCUGUUUUACUAUGGUAAUUGUGGAUCCUAUUAAGAUGCACGGCUUACCUGGUUUCAGCCCUAAAAUGUCCUUUACCUAAGUUAUGUGUUCUUAUUUUUAGGUGGAUCAGAUUGUACUUAACCAUGUACAACCCAAAACAGCAGAAUUUUAUGAUACAUAAGUCUGUAUUUUAACUAGGUGGGUAAUUUCUUGCUAGGAUGUAUCCCCAGACCUGAUACUGGAGGUUCGUGUUUUCUUUUAGAGCUUUAGCAACAAAACAAUUUUGAAAUUUGUCGGCGGUGUUCGGACUAAAACUAAAAGAGAUCCACAUUGACUCAGUAGUUGUGUGAUAGUUUGGAGCUUUGAAGUUUCAUUUUAUAGACUGAAAAUGUUAAUACAAAAGUGUGAUCAUAGUAUCAAGAAACUGUUCGGCGUACCAAAAAUGCAUUUGUCGGAGAGCAUCCUAAAAUAUGGCGCUGUGGUAUCAGGAAUUUCAUUUUUGUGAUGAUUUUCACACAUCUUGCAGAUUCAGAGAUCCACAUAUGCAUUGUAGUGGCUGGAGCUACAAUUAAAAUAUUCAGACAUUCCUACUGUCAUGAACCCCAUCCUUUCUUUUGCGUUUAAUACUGAUGCUAUGCUUUUGUGUGAAACAUGGCCUAAUGAUUCAGGGAUCUAGCUGCUCAUUAGUGAACUUUGCCGUUUCUUGUGUGUUUGUAUAGGUAUGCUAUAAAUUACAGUCCACUACCUUCAGGUUUUAUAUGGAUUUUAAGUUUGCUUUGUUGACUUGCUUGCUGCCAAUUAGAAGAAAUCUAUGGGUUUCAUGAAAAGUAUAAUUUGCCGGUGUCCAAGGAUGGACAUUUCCUAUCUUAUGUUGGCACCAUGUAGUUGUAUCUGCCACUGUUGUUACCCAAUCAUUUACAUGUACAUGGUCUGCUUCUCAGUUUUUGUGUUGUUUUUGUAGGUUGUGUGAUCAAAAGGUUAACUGGAUUAGGCAAGGCAUGAUUGAUUAUUGUUGCCUCCUAUUUUGAAAGGCACUAAUUCUUUGAUUAUUGUUGCAUCCUUCUAUUUUGAACCACACACUCUCUGCAGGUGGAAGGGAUUCUAUCUAAAAUGAGGAGUAUACAAAUGAAUCUGAUGUUGGGCAAACUUUAUAGGAUAUCUAGAAUAACUUUGCAGCUGCACAUUCUUUUUGAAUUAUAAUAUAAAACGUUUUUAGAGUUUCUAUAGGUCAAUCAUUUAGUUCUGACCAUCAUUGAUUAGUUCUAGUGGGGGUUUAAUUUUUGUAGGGAGUUUUGCAGUGCUAUCAUUUACAUUAUAUACUGUUUUGCAUGAGAGUAUAGAUUAGGAUAUUACUGACACGUACAGAUUUUCAAAUAUUGCUUCUCAAAAUAUCAGGUCCGAGACAUGUAUGCUAUUUAAGCAGUGUUUUUCCUACCUUGGAAACUUGUGGUUGUAGUUGCUCCUCACCUAUGGCAUGUUUUGUUAUUUUGUAUUUUGUUCUCGAAAAACUAGGAGAGGGCAUAUAAAUAAAAGGUGCUCAUAUCUUGCUAGCAAGUGCCUAUUAUGAUCCAUGUGAUGAUUCCUUUGCGGAUGACUAGAUCGAAACCUUGGAAUGCUUUAUCUUCAGAAAAAAUAAUUGGUAAACCAUUCUGCGAGGUAUUGUUUGCCAUGUGGUGUAGUUGUAGUCUACGUUUCUCAAAUAAUUUUAGAGGAUUUUGUGAAGAUUUGCAGAAAAGUAACUCGAAACCUUCUUUGCCGCAAACUAACUCAAAACCUCAGGUUUUAAAUUUUCUCACCGUACAUAAUAAUUCUUAGAUACCUGCUACUUAUAAUGUCAAGCAUAUUUAAUUUUAAUUCAUUGUUCGACAGGCCAUGAUAUUUGCCUAAAGAUGGUAUUUCAGUUUCAUGAAAUAAUUGUUUCAUGUCAUAUAAGUAUCUAUUACUUUAUCCAGUUACUAAACAUUCCAAAUGGACUAUGAAUAUGCAGAUUGGCAUUCAAGUCCCUCCGGGAUCCCUUUGCUAAAGAAGCAUCACUACCUUGUUGGCUUUAUGCAGACCAAUCAGCUCAUUCUUGGCUUAUUCUGAAGGCAACUAUCGGUUCUUUUGCAGCUGAUGAAGCAUUUUAUUGGAUCUCAAUUUGCAUGAAAAGCUUCACUGAUUCAAUCAUGGCAGUCGUGUAUCUUCCAGAUUUGUAAUGCUAUUCUGUAGUGUAGGGAUUUCUUGAUCCCUCUGAGAUGAUUGCUAAUUGCUAAGCUACUAUCUCAAGCUAAGUAUAGUUACCUCUUGCUAAUGCCAUUAUUAGUUACUUUCUAAUUGCUUUCCAGCUCACAAGAGGAUUUUUUAAAUCUGCGAGUUGUUCCUUUUAUCUUGCAGCUUUUGAACAGAAACUACAACCUUAAUUCAACUAAUAUAUAAACAAUAUUCAGACGAGUAAGGUCAAUGCUUUGAUUUGUGCUAGCUUUAUCCACCGGAUUCAGUAGUGUAUUACUUUUGUUAGCAUUUUUUUAAAUAUAGAUGUUGACGUGGAUCUUCAGAUAUGUUUCUGCCCUUUUUGGACAAUGCUAAACGCAAUAAGUUACUAGAUGCCUAGAAGGACUACAAACUAGAUGCGGCAUGCCUUAAUGAUCAGUAUUCACAGUAACGCAAUGUUGUGACUGCAUGUUUAGUUUUCGUUGCUAAAUUGGAUUUUUUACCAUCUUCACCAUCAAGAGUGUCGUGCAUUCUCUUCUACCCUCGUUGUGCUGGUUCCGAUGCACCGGCACAACACCUUGAUUUUUUUUUGAUUAUAAUUAGUACAACUCCAAUUUUUCGUAGAUAUUUUUUAUUAAUUUCGCCUAUUCUUUUUUACUUAUGCGACCAAAUCCUCACUAUGGUUCAUUACACUCAGGUGAAAUCUGCCAUGUGGCUAUUUUUCUUGAUUGAUAUAGACGAUGUCGAGCGGUUCAGGUUUUAUGCAGUGAGGAGUUGAACACUGAAAUUUCAAUUUUGAUUCUGUGAUGACCUGAUGACCUGGUUGGACCCUAGAGAGUCAAGUUUACUCCGAUGACAAAUACAAGGGCUAAGGUAGCUUGAGGAACCUACGACACUAAUUAAUAUAACCAGAGUUGCAAAAUUAUCUUUGGUCACUGGCUGUUUGGAUUCCUGGCUGUGAGAGCUUAAUCCAACCUGUUUAUUUUUUCAAGUCCUAUUUAUCUAUGCCUACAGAAUAUUCGGCAUAAAUUCAAGCAGGUUGUUCUCAUAUCUAGGUGACACUUCUAACUUCUCAUUUGCAAAAAUAUCUUGCUCUUCAUCUGGAUGGAUGACCUUUUUAUUAUGUAAUAAUAGUGUUUAGUCUAUGGUUUCUUCACGCUUGAAAUUUUAUUAUGUACAGAGUGCACAUAUCAAUGUUAUGAACUAAUGGACAAUUAUUUUCAGAGUGAUGCCAUUUCAAUUUCUUACCAAUUAACUCGCAUAAUCAAGACACAGACCCUAAAAGAAGACGCACACCCAUAAAAGAGGAUUGUUUAUAGUAAAUCAGUAGACGAAAACAGACCGACCUGAAGGAGGUCGUGACCGCCAUGUCACCGGUCAAGAUGGCUGCAGCUGUCACCUCGAUGGCCACCGCUGGCGGAGCGUGGGAGCCCGGCCGCCGGUGCUGCAGAGAAGCCACGCCAUCUGCUUGACGGUUAAGAACUCUGCUGCUUGCAGGUCUGCCCCAGAGAUGAACGGGUGUGUUCUGCGGGGACCAACGCGGUCAUGCCGUCUUCGGCAUCCACCACGCGCAUAUUGCUGCAGUGGAACAAGCAUCAUCAUCCAACUUGAUGGAUCUUUUUUCCUCUCUGUGUUGCUGCUCCACGUGAAGUAAUACUCUGCCCAGGCAGUGAGACAGGCAUGCGUGUGUGCUUAGCGGGGCAGCGAGGGGAUCUGGUGGUCAACGGUGCCAUGGACAGAGGCUGGCGACGGCCACGACCACGGCUCUCUUCCAACCUGGCAUGGAGAUGGAGUUGUGGGAAUAGCACCAGGGAAAAUCUUGGAACAUCGAGCUCACGUACACUGUAUUCUCCUGAGCGAGAGAAAGGAGGGGAGAGGGGAGGUAGGUGGCUAGAGAAAAUGGAGAGAGAGGAAUCUUAAGAUGCUAUGUGUGUCCAAGAAUAAUACUUUCAUAUCUCAUAGUGGUGUCACACGGGUUGUAUAAGUCAUGAUUCAGCUAAAUUUAAUUGUCGUUCUCCAA
Molecule: long non-coding RNA, 4782 nt
Organism: Lolium perenne
Lineage: Eukaryota; Viridiplantae; Streptophyta; Magnoliopsida; Poales; Poaceae
Source: RefSeq, a predicted model, not a curated record